GCCAACGGUCAUACCAUACUGAAAAUACAGUUCCCGUCCAAUCACCGAAGUCAAACAGUUUUUAGCGCGGUGAGUACUUAAAAAGAGUGACCAACGGGCACAUCGCGUGCUGUCGCUU
Molecule: ribosomal RNA, 118 nt
Filed under: Stegodyphus mimosarum
Lineage: Eukaryota; Metazoa; Arthropoda; Arachnida; Araneae; Eresidae
Source: RNAcentral